RNAcentral lists this ribosomal RNA (458 nucleotides) under uncultured bacterium. RNAcentral describes it as "SSU rRNA". It matches the Rfam family "Bacterial small subunit ribosomal RNA", at positions 26 to 518 of the family's 1533-position model. The record is from RNAcentral.
AGAACGAACGCUGGCGGCAUGCCUAACACAUGCAAGUCGAACGAGACUUUCGGGUCUAGUGGCGGACGGCUGAGUAACGCGUAGGUAACGUACCUCUUACUGGGGGAUAACAUCGGGAAACCGGUGCUAAUACCGCAUAAGUCGUGUCUUGAAAUAGAUACGAUUAAAGAUUUAUCGGUAAGAGAUUGGCCUGCGUCUGAUUAGCUAGUUGGUAGGGUAAUGGCCUACCAAGGCGAUGAUCAGUAGUUGGUCUGAGAGGAUGACCAGCCAGAGUGGGACUGAGAACGGCCCACACUUCUACGGAAGGCAGCAGUAGGGAAUUUUGCGCAAUGGGCGAAAGCCUGACGCAGCAACACCGCGUGCGGGAUGAAGGCCUUUGGGUGUAAACCGCUGUCAGCAGGGAAUAAAUUGACUGUACCUGCAAAGGAAGCACCGGCUAACUACGUGCCAGCAGCCGC